UUUAACUGAAGAGUUUGAUCAUGGCUCAGAUUGAACGCUGGCGGCAGGCUUAACACAUGCAAGUCGAGCGGGGGAAGGUAGCUUGCUACUGGACCU
RNAcentral lists this ribosomal RNA (96 nucleotides) under Acinetobacter baumannii. Its description in RNAcentral is "partial 16S ribosomal RNA". It matches the Rfam family "Bacterial small subunit ribosomal RNA", at positions 1 to 93 of the family's 1533-position model. The record is from RNAcentral. Lineage: Bacteria; Pseudomonadati; Pseudomonadota; Gammaproteobacteria; Moraxellales; Moraxellaceae.